This 440-nucleotide ribosomal RNA is filed under the name uncultured bacterium. Its description in RNAcentral is "partial 16S ribosomal RNA". It matches the Rfam family "Bacterial small subunit ribosomal RNA", at positions 338 to 795 of the family's 1533-position model. The record is from RNAcentral.
CCUACGGGAGGCAGCAGUGGGGGAUAUUGCACAAUGGGGGAAACCCUGAUGCAGCGACGCCGCGUGGGUGAAGAAGUGCCUCGGCGUGUAAAGCUCUGUCAGCAGGGAAGAAAAUGACGGUACCUGAAGAAGAAGCCCCGGCUAACUACGUGCCAGCAGCCGCGGUAAUACGUAGGGGGCAAGCGUUAUCCGGAUUUACUGGGUGUAAAGGGGGCGUAGACGGCGCUGCAAGCCAGGAGUGAAAGCCCGGGGCGCAACCCCGGGACUGCUCUUGAAACUGCGAGGCUAGAGUGCAGGAGGGGCAAGCGGAAUUCCUGGGGUAGCGGUGAAAUGCGUAGAUAUCAGGAGGAACACCAGUGGCGAAGGCGGCCUGCUGGACUGCAACUGACGUUGAGGCCCGAAAGCGUGGGGAGCAAACAGGAUUAGAUACCCGAGUAGUC